RNAcentral lists this ribosomal RNA (591 nucleotides) under Trichoderma spirale. RNAcentral's name for it is "eukaryotic LSU rRNA". The stretch from base 229 to 382 matches the Rfam family "5.8S ribosomal RNA". The record is from RNAcentral. Lineage: Eukaryota; Fungi; Ascomycota; Sordariomycetes; Hypocreales; Hypocreaceae.
CUCCGUUGGUGAACCAGCGGAGGGAUCAUUACCGAGUUUACAACUCCCAAACCCAAUGUGAACGUUACCAAACUGUUGCCUCGGCGGGAUCUCUGCCCCGGGUGCGUCGCAGCCCCGGACCAAGGCGCCCGCCGGAGGACCAACCAAAACUCUUUUGUAUACCCCCUCGCGGGUUUUUAUAUCUGAGCCAUCUCGGCGCCUCUCGUAGGCGUUUCGAAAAUGAAUCAAAACUUUCAACAACGGAUCUCUUGGUUCUGGCAUCGAUGAAGAACGCAGCGAAAUGCGAUAAGUAAUGUGAAUUGCAGAAUUCAGUGAAUCAUCGAAUCUUUGAACGCACAUUGCGCCCGCCAGUAUUCUGGCGGGCAUGCCUGUCCGAGCGUCAUUUCAACCCUCGAACCCCUCCGGGGGGUCGGCGUUGGGGAUCGGCCCUUUACGGGGCCGGCCCCGAAAUACAGUGGCGGUCUCGCCGCAGCCUCUCCUGCGCAGUAGUUUGCACACUCGCAUCGGGAGCGCGGCGCGUCCAUUGCCGUAAAACACCCAACUUUCUGAAAUGUUGACCUCGGAUCAGGUAGGAAUACCCGCUGAACUUAA